This 3082-nucleotide ribosomal RNA is filed under the name Fusarium oxysporum. Its description in RNAcentral is "LSU rRNA". It matches the Rfam family "Bacterial large subunit ribosomal RNA". Lineage: Eukaryota; Fungi; Ascomycota; Sordariomycetes; Hypocreales; Nectriaceae. The record is from RNAcentral.
UUUGCUAGCUAAUUGUGUAUAUACGCAGGCCAAUGCUUCUAAUUUCAUAGCAAGCUCGCUUGCUGUGAAAUAGGCAACCAGUAAUAUAAGCAAGUGUGUGCUAUUUAUAGCCCUAGCCUACAAACCUAUAAUUAUAUUAACUCUAAGAGAAAUUUAAUAAUAAACGAAGUGAAUUGAAAUAUCUUAGUAACUUUAGGAAAAGAAAUCAAAAGAGAUUCUAUGAUUAGCGUGAGCUAAAAAUAGACUAGCCUAAAAAGUCAAAUGGUGGAUAAACUGUUUAAAUUAAAUGGGGAACCUUCCUCAAAGGCUAAAUAUAAUGUAUAAGCGAUAGUGGAAAGUACCGUGAGGGAACCAAAACAAAAACAGUGAUUUUAUAAGCAGUUCGGGAAAAAUAAAAAAAAAGUUAGAACGUACCUUUUGCAUAAUGGGUCACCAAGUUAACAUUAGAUGCGAGUAGAAGGCUUUGGCCAUACAUACGUAGUUAAACCGAGCGUUAAAAUAACGGUAAGUAUCUAAAGUUAGACCCGAAGCCUGGUGAUUUUACCAUAAUCAGGAUUAUAAAAGUCCGAACGGAAUAUUGUAGCAUAAAUAUCCGAAGAAUUAUGGUAGGUGUAGUGAAAGACAAUACUGACCAGGAUAGCUGGUUUUCUGCGAAACCUAUAACAGUAGGCAAUUUAAGUAUAAUAUCUUAGCAGGUACAGAAUUUAAUCUCAGACAAGACAUAAGGCUUAGCUUGCUAGCAAGUAAAGCUCAUGUUUUAUUUUGUACAAAUUGGGGGAUCAUGAAGAUUUUAUCAGUGAGUAUGUAGACUCGGAAUGGCAAAGAUAUAUCUUAAAUCAUCAGACAUAGAAUGAUAAGGUUGUAUGUCAAAAGGGAAACAGCCCAGAACAAGAGUUAAGGUUCCUAAAUUAUUAGUUGAGUGAAAUUAAGAAGGUUUUUAUUAAAGUCGACAAGGAGAUAGGCUUAGAAGCAGCCAUAAUUUUAUGACCUCGUAACAGAGCGCUUGUUAAGUUUUAAAAGCAUCGAAAAUUUAUCGGAUCUAAACAAUAUACCGAAACCUUGUCCAUAUUAUUUUAUAAUUAAAUCUUAAUUAUAAUUAAAUGGGGUAGCAGAACGUUGAGCUAAAUUAAGAUUUUUAUUUUUUAAAUGAAAUUAUAAUAAUUUAACUCAAGUGAUAAUGGUGACAUGAGUAACUAAAAGAAAAAAUAAAAUUUUUCCGCCUAAAGCUUAUGGAUGUAAUUAAGUAACGGCCUCUAAGUUUAUAUUAUCUAAAGAUUUAAACGAUGAGAUAAUCUUUUGUACUAAGGACGACAUUUUAAGUGAAAAAUGUACUGGAAAAAUAGUACUAAAUUAAUGGGUAUAGCUAAUUAGUUAGCUAUAGCUAUAAAUGAAAAGUAACCGUACCUAGAAUCUGAAACAAGUAAGCUAGUAGAGAAUACGAAGGCGUAAAUGAGCUAACAAUCAUAAAGGAACUCGGCAAAUUGACUACCGUAACUUCGGGAUAAGGAGAGCUCAUUAUUCUUGAUUAAUAUCAGGUAAAGAGGAAGAAGCAUGAAAUAGUGUUGUACGACUGUUUAAUUAAAACACAGCACUUUGCUGAAAGAUUAAAAAUCUAAGUAUAGAGUGUGAUGUCUGCCCGGUGCCGGCUGGUUAACAGAUAUAAUUAAAUAUACUAAUAUUUGAUGUAGACGGAAACCCCGGUUAAAGGCGGCCUUAACGUGAGGGUCCUAAGGUAGCGAAAUGCCUUGGCCGUUAAAUGCGGUCUUGCAUGAAUGGUGUAACGAUACAACAGCUGUCUCUAUGAUUGACUCAGUGAAAUUGGAAUAGCAGUGCAGAUACUGCUUACCUCUAGUUAGACGAGAAGACCCUAUGCAGCUUUACUGUCACUAAUUAUAGAUUAUGAUAGACAAUUUUCAGAUUAUAAGGUAAUUGAUUUAUGACAAUGAGAAACCUUUAUUUUUCUUUCAUAUGAAUGAAUUGGUUUAGGAGUAUAAGUAGAUUGUAAUUUAUGUGGCUUUACUGAGCCAAUUUGUUAAAUUAUAGUCUGUAUGCUUAUACUAGUAGAUCAGCCUAAUUCAACUUAYUAUAUUYAUUAUAGUAAGUACCCUUKGSUAAGGAACUAUCGCUAGGGGACAGUUUAUGUGGGGCACAGACCCUGUAAAGAGUAAACAGGAGUGUCUAAAAAUUUAUAAAUAUUUUGUUUGCUAUUUUGAAUAGUUUAACUAUUCUUAAUCAUAUACAAUUAAUUAUAUUUGCAUUUAUUGUAAAUAUAGUUAAGAUUAGGUAGGAUUUUCACUAUAUAGAAAUUAGAGAUAAUAAAGAUAUUAUGGAAACUCUUCUAAUAUCUUUUAGCUAUCUUUUAGAUAGUUAUGUUUACAAUAUCUAAAAAGCUCAACGGCUUAAUCCUGCCUUACUGUUUGAUUAUCUACAAAUCUUACAGUUGCGUAAGCAGGGCAUAGGAUCACAAGAUGCAACAAGGAAAGAUCUUGGAUUAUUGGAAAAGCUACGCUAGGGAUAACAGGCUAAUUUGCGCAAGAGUGUACAAAAUGAGUGCGCGGUUUGGCACCUCGAUGUCGGCUUAACUUAUCCUCAUGGACGCAGGAACUAUGUAGGGUGCGACUGUUCGUCGAUUAAAAAGUUACAUGAGCUGGGUUAAAUACGUCGUGAGACAGUAUGGUUUCUAUCUUCUAGGGGGAAUUAGAAUAAAAUAAGAACUAACUUUUGUACGCAAGGAACAAGAAGAGUUUAACAUUGUUAGACUAUGGUUACUAACCUAUGGUUUACCUGUUGUUUAUGUGCCCAAAUAUUAAAUAUAUAUGCUUUUGUAUAUAUAUCUGUAUUAUUUCGAUAAUACAUAGGGAUGUAUCUUUCACUAAGAUAAUGUAUAGCAUAAGCACGGCAGGAAAGCUAAGUUGGUUAAGGAUAAGUGCUGAAAGCAUAUAGGCACGAAGCUUAUCUUAAGAUAUUUCUUAAAUAUACGUAGCAUAAUACUACGAAUUUAUAGGCUUUAUCCGUAAGAAUCUAGAGAUUUUAAAGAUUAAAGUACUAAUUUAAUAAUUUACUAUUUAUACAUAUAUCAAUA